This is a long non-coding RNA of Gorilla gorilla gorilla (western lowland gorilla), 1543 nucleotides long. RefSeq lists it as uncharacterized. The record is from RefSeq and is a predicted model, not a curated record. Lineage: Eukaryota; Metazoa; Chordata; Mammalia; Primates; Hominidae. The transcript is spliced from 5 exons.
GCAGGAGGCGGGCGGGGGCGGGGGCGCGCGCUCCCGGCCUCGCCCGGCCCCUCUGCGUGGCCCCCCGCCCCCUGCGCCGCCGCUGCCAACCCGGAAGGAGCCCGGAGGGGCCCGGGCGGCCAGGGCGCCCCCGCCAGGAGGCCCGCCAGGUGUCCACCUGAGCCCCACGCCCUGCGCCGCGGGGCCCUUUUGGGGGCGGGGUGCCAGCUCCGAGGUGUCCUCCCACGGGCUGUAGACUGGGAAACUGAGGCCCGGGCCACGGUCCCUGACGCAGCCGGGACCCGAACCCACCUCACCUGAGCGAAUGAUAUCGGGGACUCAUCCUUUUUCGACACCUUUGCGGGAUCCAGCCCUCCAAGGAAAGCUUCCUGAGCAGUGCGCGCCACGUGUACUGGGCACCUCACCGCGGCCACUUCACAUCCUAUCUCAGGUGGAGAAACUGAGCCACAGAGAGGAGCUGUCAUUUACCUAAAGCACCGUGGCAGGGGUUUGGCAGAGCCAGGAUUUGUACCCAGAUCGCCUGACUUCGGAGAGUAUCAGCUCUUAACCACAGCACUUUGGUCUAUGCCUUGAUUUCACCAUAUGUAACAAGCAGCUGUGCCACUUUGCAUUCCCACCAGCAGCACGCAAGCAUUCGAAUUUCUCCACACGCUCGCCAACAAGAUGGGGUCUCCCUAUGCUUCCCAGGCUGGUCUCGAACUCCUGGACUCAAGCAAUCCUCCUGUCUCGACCUCCCAAAGUGCUGGGAUUACAGGCGUGAGCCGCCUCACCUGGCCUAUAGAAUUUCAUACAAAUGAAAUCAUACUGGUCUCGCUCAUCACCAGGCUGGAGUACAGUGACAUGAUCAUGGCUCACUGCAGCCUCAACCUCCCGGGUUCAGGCUAUCCUCCCACCUCAGCCUCCCAGGACCACAGGCGUGUGCCACCACGCCCAGCUAAUUUUUUGUAGAGAUGGGGUUAUGCCAUGUUGCCCAGGCUGGUCUCGAGCUGCUGGGCACAAGCAAUCUACCCAUCUCAGUCUCCCAAAGUGCUGGGAUUAUAGUCGUGAGCCACUAUGCCCAGCCAACAGUGUCUUUCAAAGAGCAGAGAGAGGUUAAUUUUGAUGAUGUCCAGUUUGCACCUUUGUUGAAAAUUGACCAUAUAUCUGUGAGUCUGUUUCUAGACUCUUUGUUCUGCUUUAUUAAACUACUUGUCUAUUUGUACACCAAUGCCACACUGUCUUCAUUGCUGUGCCUUUGUAAUAAGUUUUAAAGUUAGGUCAUUUAAGUCCUUUAAUUUUGUUCCUCUUUUUCAAAGUUGUUUUGACUAUUCUAAGCUUUUGCAUUUCCAAUACAUUUUGUAAUCAGCUUGUAAAUUUCUACCAAAAAAGCCUGCUGAGACUUUGACUGAAAUUAUGUUGAGUUUGUAGAUUAAUUUGGGAAGAAUUGACAUAUUGACAGUAUUGAGUCUCUCAACCCAUGAACAUGGUAUACCUCUCCAUUUAUUUAGACCUUUAGAGCUUUUUCUCAGCAACAUUUUGUAGCUUUUUUUUUUUUUUUUUUUUU